GAUGAACGCUGGCGGCGUGCCUAACACAUGCAAGUCGAACGAACCUUGGGGAACAGAUUACUUCGGUAUGAAGUUCCCCGCUGGUUAGUGGCGGACGGGUGAGUAACGCGUGGGUAACCUGCCGUAUGCAGGGGGAUAACAGUUAGAAAUGACUGCUAAUACCGCAUAAGCGCACAGUAUCGCAUGAUACAGUGUGAAAAACGAUAGUGGCAUACGAUGGACCCGCGUCUGAUUAGCUAGUUGGCGGGGUAACGGCCCACCAAGGCGACGAUCAGUAGCCGGCCUGAGAGGGUGAACGGCCACAUUGGAACUGAGACACGGUCCAAACUCCUACGGGAGGCAGCAGUGGGGGAUAUUGCACAAUGGGGGAAACCCGUGAUGCAGCGACGCCGCGUGAGUGAAGAAGUAUUUCGGUAUGUAAAGCUCUAUCAGCAGGAAAGAUAAAUGACGGUAACCUGACUAAGAAGACACCGGCUAAAUACGUG
This 485-nucleotide ribosomal RNA is filed under the name uncultured bacterium. RNAcentral's name for it is "bacterial SSU rRNA". It matches the Rfam family "Bacterial small subunit ribosomal RNA", at positions 28 to 507 of the family's 1533-position model. The record is from RNAcentral.